This 909-nucleotide long non-coding RNA is filed under the name Androctonus crassicauda. Lineage: Eukaryota; Metazoa; Arthropoda; Arachnida; Scorpiones; Buthidae. The record is from RNAcentral.
CUGAAAUAUGGAAGAUUUGUUUUUUUUUAUCAAGAUAAUUAUAUAGGUAUUUAGAAACACAAAAAAAUCGUUAGUUUAAAUAUUAGAGAAUCUAAGUUUUUUGCCAUUAGAAAAAUUUUGCAAGAAAGUAUUAUUAAAUAAAAAUACUCUAAAGAGAUUUUGGAAGUUUUUCAUUUUUUUGUAUUUAGUUGACUACAACUAUAGUCAAAAUGAUAAAUGAGUAGAUCCCCUGAUGAUCAGGUGCAGACAAACUUAAAGAUUAUAAACCUCUUUUCCCUUCAGAUCUCUAUUCUGCAGCUAACAGUAUUGGACAUGACAGAAAAUGGGGGGUGGUUUAACUACGCUCUACUGACCAAACAACCAUCUUGUGGUUGAAACCAAACGACUUAUUGAAGUUGGGAACAUGCACCUUCAAUGAGCUGUACCCAGUUUUUCUUUAUGGUUGCGUCGUCUCUCAUUUUCCGGCCGACAGACUCCAAAUUGAAACCACUGCAUGCAGUUAUGAAAAUGGAAAGCUCACUCUCGUUACUCCAUAGACAUAGUUCCAAUAUUUCGGCAUGUGACACUAGCCAUCUGUUACUGGACUGUUACCAUGGAAACAUUUCCCCACUUCUCUUCCUCUUCAUCCCCUGCAUUACUCCCCAAGCAGGUGAUUCAACCUUGGAUUGUUCACCUUGUGCCAGAAUAGGGAUGUCCAGCUUAUGUUUCAACUAUUGAACUUUGAAGCUUUCUUGUUGUUAAAGUUAAGGGAUUUAAGAAAUUGGAGAUUUGUUGGAACUGUACUUUUACUAUAUACUGUAAUUGCCUAUUGUAAGUAGCACAAUUGGAUUUAACUUCUAAACAAGAAGACAAAAUGACGUUAUUUUAUAUUAAUUUUCUGUAUCUUGCUUGAUAUGCAAAGGAUUUCUG